GUUUUAUUCGUUUUAGAUAGAAUGGUAUUUUAUUCUGCUACAAAAUUCCAGCUGAUUAUGGAACUUAAGGCUCUACCAUUUUGAAAAGUGUUGCUAAACUAAAGUAAUUUAGCUUUUUGUGGCAUUGAAUAAAUCAUUCUUUUUGGAUCACCUUUAGUUUGCUGAGGCCAUUCUAGAAGGCUCAAAUGGGUACCUUGCAUGCUCACCUGCACAGCAAGAGAGAGAGCGACUGGGGUGUUUUUUUUUUAGGUCACUUGAUGAAUGCAGUGAUCUGGCUGGUGACAUCAGGUACCUGGCAACAAAAUUCAUCCCCCAGAAAAAAGUGGCUGAAGCCCUGUUGGAAGAGGGAAAUGUCAAUGAAGCCAUGUUCAAAACAGAAGACUGCAGGUAAUUUAGUAACAAUUUACUAUUACACUUAACAUUGACUAAAUGAUUUAAUUCCAGGUGAACUGGAAAACUAAAUAGCUGUUGAUAUUUUCAAUUGCAGGAAGACCAUGAAAGCUUUACAAGAUGCUUUAGAGAGUAAUUGGGAAACAUUUGACCUGGCAACACAUGGUCUUGGUCCUGCUGUUAUAAAGGGCACUUUUGCAUUAGUUGAUGCAUGGCUUAAGGAAAAGAUGAGAGCACUGAAAU
Molecule: long non-coding RNA, 633 nt
Filed under: Sinocyclocheilus anshuiensis
Lineage: Eukaryota; Metazoa; Chordata; Actinopteri; Cypriniformes; Cyprinidae
Description: lncRNA (ENSSANG00000030408.1)
Source: RNAcentral